This 871-nucleotide ribosomal RNA is filed under the name Cadophora prunicola. RNAcentral describes it as "partial large subunit ribosomal RNA". It matches the Rfam family "Eukaryotic large subunit ribosomal RNA", at positions 34 to 923 of the family's 3401-position model. The record is from RNAcentral. Lineage: Eukaryota; Fungi; Ascomycota; Leotiomycetes; Helotiales; Ploettnerulaceae.
UUAAGCAUAUCAAUAAGCGGAGGAAAAGAAACCAACAGGGAUUACCUCAGUAACGGCGAGUGAAGCGGUAACAGCUCAAAUUUGAAAGCUAGCUCUUCUAGGGUUCGCAUUGUAAUUUGUAGAAGAUGCUUCGGGUGUGGCCCCGGUCUAAGUUCCUUGGAACAGGACGUCAUAGAGGGUGAGAAUCCCGUAUGUGACUGGGUGCUUUCGCUCAUGUGAAGCUCUUUCGACGAGUCGAGUUGUUUGGGAAUGCAGCUCAAAAUGGGUGGUAAAUUUCAUCUAAAGCUAAAUAUUGGCCAGAGACCGAUAGCGCACAAGUAGAGUGAUCGAAAGAUGAAAAGCACUUUGGAAAGAGAGUUAAACAGUACGUGAAAUUGUUGAAAGGGAAGCGCUUGCAACCAGACUUGCGCGCUGAUGAUCAUCCGGGCUUCUGCCCGGUGCACUCGUCUGCGCUCAGGCCAGCAUCGGUUUCGGUGGUGGGAUAAAGGCCUUGGGAAUGUAGCUUCUUUCGGGGAGUGUUAUAGCCCUCGGUGCAAUGCCGCCUACCGGGACCGAGGACCGCGCUUCGGCUAGGAUGCUGGCGUAAUGGUUGUAAGCGACCCGUCUUGAAACACGGACCAAGGAGUCUAACAUCUAUGCGAGUGUUUGGGUGUCAAACCCAUACGCGUAAUGAAAGUGAACGGAGGUGAGAACCCUUAAGGGUGCAUCAUCGACCGAUCCUGAUGUCUUCGGAUGGAUUUGAGUAAGAGCAUAGCUGUUGGGACCCGAAAGAUGGUGAACUAUGCGUGAAUAGGGUGAAGCCAGAGGAAACUCUGGUGGAGGCUCGCAGCGGUUCUGACGUGCAAAUCGAUCGUCAAUUUGCGUAUAGGGG